AACGAACGCUGGCGGCAGGCCUAACACAUGCAAGUCGAACGCCGUAGCAAUACGGAGUGGCAGACGGGUGAGUAACACGUGGGAACAUACCCUUCGGUUCGGAAUAACUCAGGGAAACUUGAGCUAAUACCGGAUACGUCCGCGAGGAGAAAGAUUCAUCGCCGGAGGAUUGGCCCGCGUCUGAUUAGCUUGUUGGUGAGGUAACGGCUCACCAAGGCGACGAUCAGUAGCNGGUCUGAGAGGAUGAUCAGCCACAUUGGGACUGAGACACGG
This 273-nucleotide ribosomal RNA is filed under the name uncultured bacterium. Its description in RNAcentral is "partial 16S ribosomal RNA". It matches the Rfam family "Bacterial small subunit ribosomal RNA", at positions 29 to 329 of the family's 1533-position model. The record is from RNAcentral.